CAUGUAGGCGGAUUGGUCAGUUGGAGGUGAAAUCCCGGAGCUCAACUCCGGAACUGCCUUCAAUACUGCCAAUCUAGAAUCUGUAAGGGGGUGGUGGAAUUCCGAGUGUAGAGGUGAAAUUCGUAGAUAUUCGGAGGAACACCAGUGGCGAAGGCGACCACCUGGUACAGUAUUGACGCUGAGAUGACGAAAGCGGUGGGGAGACAAACA
RNAcentral lists this ribosomal RNA (210 nucleotides) under uncultured bacterium. RNAcentral describes it as "partial 16S ribosomal RNA". It matches the Rfam family "Bacterial small subunit ribosomal RNA", at positions 568 to 774 of the family's 1533-position model. The record is from RNAcentral.